UACGAAGGGGGCUAGCGUUGCUCGGAAUGAGUGGGAGUAAAGGGCGCGUAGGCGGCUUACAUAGUUAGGCGUGAAAUUCCUGGGCUCAACCUGGGGACUGCGUCUAAUACAUGUAGGCUUGAGUGUGAAAGAGGGUCGUGGAAUUUCCAGUGUAGAGGUGAAAUUCGUAGAUAUUGGAAAGAACACCGGUGGCGAAGGCGGCGACCUGGUUCAUUACUGACGCUGAGUCGCGAAAGCGUGGGGAGCAAACAGG
Molecule: ribosomal RNA, 253 nt
Filed under: uncultured bacterium
Lineage: Bacteria
Description: partial 16S ribosomal RNA
Rfam family: Bacterial small subunit ribosomal RNA
Source: RNAcentral